RNAcentral lists this non-coding RNA (29 nucleotides) under Mus musculus (house mouse). Lineage: Eukaryota; Metazoa; Chordata; Mammalia; Rodentia; Muridae. The record is from RNAcentral.
UGAGUACACAGAACUCUGCAGUCUCUGGA